RNAcentral lists this ribosomal RNA (501 nucleotides) under uncultured bacterium. Its description in RNAcentral is "partial 16S ribosomal RNA". It matches the Rfam family "Bacterial small subunit ribosomal RNA", at positions 29 to 523 of the family's 1533-position model. The record is from RNAcentral.
AUUGAACGCUGGCGGCAUGCCUUACACAUGCAAGUCGAACGGCAGCACGGGUGCUUGCACCUGGUGGCGAGUGGCGAACGGGUGAGUAAUACAUCGGAACGUACCUUAUCGUGGGGGAUAGCGCAGCGAAAGCUGUGCUAAUACCGCAUACGCCCUGAGGGGGAAAGCGGGGGAUCGCAAGACCUCGCGCGAUUAGAGCGGCCGAUGCCUGAUUAGCUUGUUGGUGGGGUAAAAGCCCACCAAGGCGACGAUCAGUAGCUGGGCUGAGAGGACGAUCAGCCACACUGGGACUGGGACACGGCCCAGACUCCUACGGGAGGCAGCAGUGGGGAAUUUUGGACAAUGGGGGCAACCCUGAUCCAGCAAUGCCGCGUGAGUGAAGAAGGCCUUCGGGUUGUAAAGCUCUUUUGUCAGGGAAGAAACACCGGCUCUAACACAGUCUGGGAAUGACGGUACCUGAAGAAUAAGCACCGGCUAACUACGUGCCAGCCGCCGCGGUAA